RNAcentral lists this ribosomal RNA (3098 nucleotides) under bioreactor metagenome. Its description in RNAcentral is "bacterial LSU rRNA". It matches the Rfam family "Bacterial large subunit ribosomal RNA". The record is from RNAcentral.
AGAGCGCACGGCGGAUGCCUAGGCGCCAGGAGCCGAAGAAGGACGGGGCCAGCACCGAAAUGCCACGGGGAGCCGCAAGCAGGCGUCGAUCCGUGGAUGUCCGAAUGGGGCAACCCGCUGUCCGUAAUGGGGCAGCAUCCUUGCCUGAAUCCAUAGGGUAAGGAAGGCAACCGGGGGAACUGAAACAUCUAAGUACCCCGAGGAAAAGAAAUCAACCGAGAUUCCCUAAGUAGCGGCGAGCGAACGGGGAAGAGCCCAAACCCAUGCAGCGUGAUAGCCCGCAAGCGUUGCUGUAUGGGGGUUGUACGGCUUAAGGGGAGCUGUUGCGGCAGCUCACAGGUAUGCUUGCAAUCUAGCAGAAGGGUCUGGAAAGUCCCGCCAAAGAGAGUGACAGCCUCGUAUGCGAAAGGUUGCGGCAGCCUGCUUAAGUCCGUGAGUAGCACGGGACACGUGGAAUCCUGUGUGAAUCUGGGGGGACCACCCUCCAAGGCUAAAUACUCCCUGGCGACCGAUAGCGCAUAGUACCGUGAGGGAAAGGUGAAAAGCACCCCGGGAGGGGAGUGAAAUAGAACCUGAAACCGUGCGCUUACAAGCAGUCGGAGGACGUUAAAGUCUGACGGCGUACUUUUUGUAGAACGGACCGGCGAGUUAUGGUAGGCAGCGAGGUUAAGCAUGUAAGAUGCGGAGCCGCAGGGAAACCGAGUCUGAAGAGGGCGCUAAGUUGCCUGCUGUAGACCCGAAACCGGGUGAUCUACCCAUGGCCAGGGUGAAGUUGAGGUAAAGCUCAAUGGAGGCCCGAACCCACUAACGUUGAAAAGUUAGGGGAUGAGCUGUGGGUAGGGGUGAAAAGCCAAUCGAACCCGGAGAUAGCUGGUUCUCCUCGAAAUAGCUUUAGGGCUAGCCUCAGUGAAGAGACUAGCGGAGGUAGAGCACUGAUCGAGCUAGGGGCCCCGAAAGGUUACCGAACUCUUUCAAACUCCGAAUGCCGCUAGUUGUUAACUGGGAGUCAGACUGCGGGGGAUAAGCUCCGUAGUCGAGAGGGAAAGAGCCCAGACCGACAGCUAAGGUCCCUAAGUGCGGACUAAGUGGAAAAGGAUGUGCAACUGCACAGACAACCAGGAUGUUGGCUUAGAAGCAGCCAUUCAUUUAAAGAGUGCGUAAUAGCUCACUGGUCAAGUGGUUGUGCGCCGAAAAUGUAACGGGGCUGAAGUCCGCCACCGAAGCUUCGGGCAUGCUGGUUAUCUCUGUUUUCUCCUGAAGGUGAACGUCAGUUGGGAACAUUUUGUCAAAACGAACCUUUUGAUUUUGGUGGAACGUUUUGACCAAAUGACUCCAAGCUGAAGUCCGCUGUAGAGGAGGCAACAGAGAUAACCAGCAUGCGGUAGAGGAGCGUUCCAACAGCACUGAAGGUAGACUGUGAAGACUGCUGGAGCGGUUGGAAGUGAGAAUGCCGGUAUGAGUAGCGAAAAGGAGGGUGAGAAUCCCUCCCGCCGAAAGCCUAAGGAUUCCUGAGGAAGGCUCGUCCGCUCAGGGUAAGUCGGGACCUAAGGCGAGGCCGAAAGGCGUAGUCGAUGGACAACAGGUUGAAAUUCCUGUACCACCGAGCAUCGCUUGAGCGAAGUGGUGACGCAGAAGGGUAGGUCAUCACCCGGAUGGAUGUGGGUGUCCAAGCGUGUAGAGGGCAAGGCAGGCAAAUCCGCCUUGCGAAACCUUGAGGCGUGAUGGGGAGGCGAAAUUUAGUAGCCGAACUGACUGAUCCCAUGCUGCCGAGAAAAGCCGCUAGCGAGAUGCAAGGUGCCCGUACCGCAAACCGACACAGGUAGGCGAGGAGAGAAUCCUAAGGCGCGCGAGAGAACCCCUGUUAAGGAACUCGGCAAAAUGACUCCGUAACUUCGGGAGAAGGAGUGCCUAAGUAGUGUGAAGUUGAACAGAUGGAGCACGAACAGGCCGCAGAGAAAUGGCCCAAGCGACUGUUUACCAAAAACACAGGUCUCUGCUAAGUGGAAACACGAAGUAUAGGGGCUGACGCCUGCCCAAUGCCGGAAGGUUAAGGGGAGAGGUUAGCGCAAGCGAAGCUUCGAACCGAAGCCCCGGUCAAUGGCGGCCGUAACUAUAACGGUCCUAAGGUAGCGAAAUUCCUUGUCGGGUAAGUUCCGACCUGCACGAAAGGCGUAACGACUUGGGCGCUGUCUCGACGGGGGGCUCGGCGAAAUUGUAGUACCUGUGAAGAUGCAGGUUACCCGCGACAAGACGGAAAGACCCCGUGGAGCUUUACUGCAGCUUGGUAUUGAAUUUUGGUAUGGAAUGUAUAGGAUAGGUGGGAGACUUAGAAGCCGGGACGCUAGUUUCGGUGGAGUCGUCGGUGGAAUACCACUCUUUUCAUGCUAGAAUUCUAACUGGCGGCCCUGAAUCGGGUCACAGGACAGUAUCAGGCGGGCAGUUUGACUGGGGCGGUCGCCUCCUAAAAGGUAACGGAGGCGCCCAAAGGUUCCCUCGGUGCGGAUGGAAAUCGCACGAGAGAGUGUAAAGGCAGAAGGGAGCUUGACUGCGAGACGGACAUGUCGAGCAGGUACGAAAGUAGGGCUUAGUGAUCCGGUGGUUCUGAGUGGAAGGGCCAUCGCUCAACGGAUAAAAGCUACCCCGGGGAUAACAGGCUUAUCUCCCCCAAGAGUUCACAUCGACGGGGAGGUUUGGCACCUCGAUGUCGGCUCGUCGCAUCCUGGAGCUGGAGAAGGUUCCAAGGGUUGGGCUGUUCGCCCAUUAAAGCGGUACGCGAGCUGGGUUCAGAACGUCGUGAGACAGUUCGGUCCCUAUCUGUCGCGGGCGUAGGAGAUUUGAGAGGAUCUGUCCCUAGUACGAGAGGACCGGGAUGGACGCACCGCUGGCUUACCAGUUGUCCCGCCAGGGGCACGGCUGGCACCCCAAGUGCGGAGUGGAUAAGCGCUGAAAGCAUCUAAGCGCGAAGCCCACCUCAAGAUGAGAUCUCCCACAGCGUUAAGCUGGUAAGACCCCUCAUAGAAGAUGAGGUAGAUAGGCCGGAGGUGUAAGGUCAGUGAUGGCUUGAGCUGUCCGGUACUAAUGGUUCGAGGGCUUGACCU